GAUGAACGCUGGCGGCGUGCCUAAUACAUGCAAGUCGAGCGAACGGACGAGAAGCUUGCUUCUCUGAUGUUAGCGGCGGACGGGUGAGUAACACGUGGAUAACCUACCUAUAAGACUGGGAUAACUUCGGGAAACCGUAGCUAAUACCGGAUAAUAUUUUGAACCGCAUGGUUCAAAAGUGAAAGACGGUCUUGCUGUCACUUAUAGAUGGAUCCGCGCUGCAUUAGCUAGUUGGUAAGGUAACGGCUUACCAAGGCAACGAUGCAUAGCCGACCUGAGAGGUGGAUCGGCCACACUGGAACUGAGACACGGUCCAGACUCCUACGGGAGGCAGCAGUAGGGAAUCUUCCGCAAUGGGCGAAAGCCUGACGGAGCAACGCCGCGUGAGUGAUGAAGGUCGUCGGAUCGUAAAACUCUGUUAUUAGGGAAGAACAUAUGUGUAAGUAACUGUGCACAUCUUGACGGUACCUAAUCAGAAGGCCACGGCUAACUACGUG
RNAcentral lists this ribosomal RNA (497 nucleotides) under uncultured bacterium. Its description in RNAcentral is "partial 16S ribosomal RNA". It matches the Rfam family "Bacterial small subunit ribosomal RNA", at positions 28 to 507 of the family's 1533-position model. The record is from RNAcentral.